GUCUGCCACACGAGCCGCCGCUGCUCCUCCCCCUCCUUCUCCCCGGCCUCCCCGCCCUCGCGUCUCCUCCUCCCCCUCGAUCUGCACGCUGCCGUCCUCUGCCACUCGCCCCACGUGGAGCUUGCGCAGGGCGUUGAGGAGCGCGGCGCGUGGCACGGGCCGGGUGAUGUUGGGCCGGGCCUGGAGGUGCAGCAUGUUGAGGAUGUGCCUCUUCACCGCCUCCACCACGUCCUGCUGAGCCUCCUCCUCCCGGUCGUGUCCCGCCACGUCGUCCGCGUCCCCUUCGUUUCUCCUCAUCCUGGCCAGGGCGCAGGAGGGGCAGUGGGAGCUGGAGGCGACGUCCGGCAGCGGCUGGUGGUGAGGAUGGACGGUCAGUGACAGAGGUCUGGACGCCGGGUCUGAGGAGGAGCCGCAGCUCUGGACCAGGAGCAGGACGGUCCAGCUCAGCAGAGGGACAGAUGGCUGGAAAAUGUGGAGGCGUCACAAGAAAGAAAGAAAGAAGAAAACAAAACAAGAAGAAGAAGAAAAAACUCUCGGAUGUGAUGAAUGGAUGAUGGAAAAGCGGAGAAGGAAAACUCUGGCUUGCAGGAGGAUCCUUGUUCCCGGGGUGAAGCCGCUGCAGAGUGUGUGUUCAGAGUGUGUGUGUGUGUGUGUUAAAGAGGCAGUUUGACUAAGUUAUCCCAGACGAAGGAGUUCCUCCCUCUCUCUUUUUUUUUUACCUCUUUUCCUCUCUCUCUCUCUCUGUGUUGAAUGCCUUCCCUCGCUCACCAGUUGAAUGGUUUUACCGGAGUGGGCUGGACUCUCUCUCUCUCCUCUCUCUCGCACUGGCAGCCUCCUACCAUAAUUAUACCUCCCUCCCUCCUCCCUCAUCCCUCUCUCUCCUCCCAUCUCGCUUUGUGACUCAUAACUUUUGCCUCCUUCUCUUUCUUUAUUUAUUUCUUCCCUCCCUCUGUUUGGCUGUUAAUGGAGCAAAGCUGGGAUUCCUUUAGCCCUCCCUCCCCCCUCGGCGGUGAAUGAGUUACGUGUUGAAGGGAAAAUUCUUGGAUGACUUGGAUUUAGCCUGUGACUCUCCUGUCCAUCUGUCUGACUACCUAUCAGUCAGUCAGUCUGUCUGACAGUCUGGAUUUGUGUAGUCUGGUUGCCGUUCAGCUCCUGUCAACAUGACAUCAUGGUUCAUGACUGUGCGGUCUCGCCAUGUUGCAUUGUGAGUAGGGGAUUCCUGCACAGGUCGCCGAUUCAGAUAACAGCUAUCUCUUGUUUUCGUCUUUGUUUUCUUUGUUUUGCUGACCUUGUUCAGCUCUUUAUCUUUGUGAUAAACAUUUUUGAGCUUUGGGCGUUCAUUCUCUCUCAAUAGAGAACCCACAUGAAACCAGAACGUCCAGGUUCUCUUCCAGAAGUAAGAUGACCUUUGUAACAAACGAUAAUUACAAAAAACAGUAUGUUGUUCUGACUUGGUUCAUACACACAAUCUACUAUUAUUGUAAAAUUAACGGCCUUUAACAAACACCAUGUCCCUCAAGCCCUGGACCUAAACACUCAAUAAAAGGACAGACACGGCUGAA
Long non-coding RNA from Micropterus dolomieu (smallmouth bass), 1562 nucleotides. RefSeq lists it as uncharacterized. Lineage: Eukaryota; Metazoa; Chordata; Actinopteri; Centrarchiformes; Centrarchidae. The record is from RefSeq and is a predicted model, not a curated record. The transcript has 2 exons.